CCUACGGGAGGCAGCAGUGAGGAAUAUUGGACAAUGGGCGGAAGCCUGAACCAGCCAAGCAGCGUGCAGGAUGACGGCCCUACGGGUUGUAAACUGCUUUUAUACGGGAAUAACGCGCCUUACGUGUAGGGCUUUGCAUGUACCGUAUGAAUAAGGACCGGCCAAUUCCGUGCCAGCAGCCGCGGUAAUACGGAAGGUCCGGUCGUUAUCCGGAUUUAUCGGGUUUAAGGGGAGCGUAGGCCGCAUGUCAAGCGUGCUGUGAAAUGUCCGGGCUCAACCCGGGCAUUGCAGGGCGAACUGGCGUGCUUGAGUCCGCGGAAGGCAGGCGGAAUUCGUGGUGUAGCGGUGAAAUGCUUAGAUAUGACGAAGAACCCCGAUUGCGAAGGCAGCUUGCUGGAGCGGAACUGACGCUGAUGCUCGAAAGCGCGGGUAUCGAACAGGAUUAGAUACCCGGGUAGUC
This 460-nucleotide ribosomal RNA is filed under the name uncultured bacterium. Its description in RNAcentral is "partial 16S ribosomal RNA". It matches the Rfam family "Bacterial small subunit ribosomal RNA", at positions 338 to 795 of the family's 1533-position model. The record is from RNAcentral.